Molecule: ribosomal RNA, 465 nt
Filed under: uncultured bacterium
Lineage: Bacteria
Description: partial 16S ribosomal RNA
Rfam family: Bacterial small subunit ribosomal RNA
Source: RNAcentral
CCUACGGGCGGCAGCAGUGGGGAAUAUUGCGCAAUGGGCGAAAGCCUGACGCAGCGACGCCGCGUGAGGGAUGAAGGUCUUCGGAUCGUAAACCUCUGUCAGCAGGGAAGAACGGUCACUGUGCUAAUCAGCAGUGAAUUGACGGUACCUGCAAAGGAAGCACCGGCUAACUCCGUGCCAGCAGCCGCGGUAAUACGGAGGGUGCGAGCGUUAAUCGGAAUUACUGGGCGUAAAGCGCUCGUAGGCGGUAUGUCAAGUCAAGGGUGAAAUCCCGGCGCUCAACGUGGGAACUGCCUUUGAAACUGGCAAACUGGAGUGUGUGAGAGGAUAGUGGAAUUCCAGGUGGAGGAGUGAAAGCCGUAGAUAUCUGGAGGAACAUCAGUGGCGAAGGCGACUAUCUGGCACAUAACUGACGCUGAGGAGCGAAAGCGUGGGUAGCAAACAGGAUUAGAUACCCUAGUAGUC